AGUGAACGCUGGCGGCGUGCUUAACACAUGCAAGUCGAACGAGUAAGUGCUGUAGUAAUACAGAUUACUGCUAGUGGCAGACGGGUGAGUAAUACAUGGGAAUCUGCCUUGAAGUCUGGGAUGACUGUUGGAAACGACAGCUAAUACCGGAUAUUGCCGAGAGGUGAAAGAUUUAUCGCUUCAAGAUGAGCCCAUGCAAGAUUAGCUAGUUGGUGAGGUAAUGGCUCACCAAGGCGAAGAUCUUUAGCUGGUCUAAGAGGAUGAUCAGCCACACUGGAGCUGAGACACGGUCCAGACUCCUACGGGAGGCAGCAGUGGGGAAUAUUGGACAAUGGGCGAAAGCCUGAUCCAGCGACGCCGCGUGAGUGAAGAAGGCCUUCGGGUUGUAAAGCUCUUUUAGUAGGGAAGAUGAUGACGGUACCUACAGAAAAAGCUCCGGCUAACUUCGUGCCAGCCGCCGCCGUAA
Molecule: ribosomal RNA, 466 nt
Filed under: uncultured bacterium
Lineage: Bacteria
Description: partial 16S ribosomal RNA
Rfam family: Bacterial small subunit ribosomal RNA
Source: RNAcentral